GACAGAGGGUGCAAACGUUGUUCGGAAUUACUGGGCGUAAAGCGCGUGUAGGCGGCUAAGCAAGUCGGGCGUGAAAUCCCACGGCUCAACCGUGGAAGUGCACCCGAAACUGCAUAGCUAGAGUCCUGGAGAGGAAGGUGGAAUGCUUGGUGUAGAGGUGAAAUUCGUAGAUAUCAAGCGGAACACCGGUGGCGAAGGCGGCCUUCUGGACAGUGACUGACGCUGAGACGGCGAAAGCGUGGGGAGCAAACAGGGAUUAAGAAACCCCAGUACGUCCGAGAACCAACGA
RNAcentral lists this ribosomal RNA (289 nucleotides) under uncultured bacterium. Its description in RNAcentral is "partial 16S ribosomal RNA". It matches the Rfam family "Bacterial small subunit ribosomal RNA", at positions 524 to 809 of the family's 1533-position model. The record is from RNAcentral.